UCUUUCCACAGACUGUGUGUGCAUAAUUGCAGGAUUACUGAACAAGUGAAUAGUCAACAGUCUUGAAAAGAGCAGAUGGAGGCACUGACUCGACGUGGAAAUCCAAACACCUCUCUGUGAAGUGU
Molecule: non-coding RNA, 125 nt
Organism: Lonchura striata (white-rumped munia)
Lineage: Eukaryota; Metazoa; Chordata; Aves; Passeriformes; Estrildidae
Source: RefSeq, a predicted model, not a curated record